Molecule: long non-coding RNA, 694 nt
Filed under: Homo sapiens (human)
Lineage: Eukaryota; Metazoa; Chordata; Mammalia; Primates; Hominidae
Description: PREDICTED lncRNA (TCONS_00102452)
Source: RNAcentral
CCAGGUUCAAGCAAUUCUCCUGCCUCAGCCUCCUGAGUAGCUGGGAUUACAGUUGCCCACCACCAUGCCCAGCUUCGCCGUCCAAGAGCCUGGGGCCGUGGGGGGCGGGGCUGCCUGCUAUCGGCCCCGCCCCGCCGACAGGACCCGCCUCUCUCCCCAGGCCCGGCGGGGCCGACCCCGCCUCUCGCUCCCAGCUUGCCGUACGACAGCGGCGGCGCGGCGGGCGGAGCCGGGAGGCGGGGAAGCAGUGGCCGUGUGAGCGUGAGGAGCUGCCGCCACCGCCUGCUCCUCGUCCUCCUCGUCCUCCGGGGCCCCAGCGUCGUGGGCCGCGCACGGCCCUGGAAGAGACGUCGCCUCGCCUUCAUCCGCCUCUCUCACCGCGCCGCUCCCUCGUCCUGCCCUGCGGGCUCAGGCGGAACCCGGAACGGCCGUCCUCUUCCCCCGCCCUCCGCCGCCGCCUCCUCCUCCUCCUUCUCGGCUUCCUCCUCAGCCCCGGGCCGGAGCGGGGUGUCGGCGGCGGCCGGUUCGGGCGGCGGCGCUUGGCCAUGUCGUGUCGGGGAAGGUAAUGAGCCGCAGAGCCCCGGGGUCUCGGCUGAGCAGCGGCGGCACCAACUAUUCGCGGAGCUGGAAUGACUGGCAACCCAGAUUGACUUGAUGCAAAACAUCACAAAGGCUCCAUGUUAUACAGUAUGCG